UACAGAGGGUGCGAGCGUUAAUCGGAAUUACUGGGCGUAAAGCGCACGUAGGUGGCGACGUAAGUCGGGUGUGAAAGCCCCGGGCUCAACCUGGGAAUUGCAUUCGAGACUGCAUUGCUGGAGUACGGAAGAGGAAGGCGGAAUUCCCGGUGUAGCGGUGAAAUGCGUAGAUAUCGGGAGGAACAUCAGUGGCGAAGGCGGCCUUCUGGUCCAGUACUGACACUCAAGUGCGAAAGCGGGGGGAGCAAACAGG
Molecule: ribosomal RNA, 253 nt
Filed under: uncultured bacterium
Lineage: Bacteria
Description: partial 16S ribosomal RNA
Rfam family: Bacterial small subunit ribosomal RNA
Source: RNAcentral